UAACGGAAGUAGCUUGCUACUAGACGACGACCGGCGCACGGGUGAGUAACGCGUAUGUAAUCUGCCUUGUACAGAGGGAUAGCCCAGAGAAAUUUGGAUUAAUACCUCAUAGUAUUACUGAGUCGCAUGAUUUGGUAAUUAAAGCUCCGGCGGUACAAGAUGAACAUGCGUGACAUUAGCUAGUUGGUAAGGUAACGGCUUACCAAGGCUACGAUGUCUAGGGGUUCUGAGAGGAUGAUCCCCCACACUGGUACUGAGACACGGACCAGACUCCUACGGGAGGCAGCAGUGAGGAAUAUUGGUCAAUGGACGCAAGUCUGAACCAGCCAUCCCGCGUGAAGGAUGACUGCCCUAUGGGUUGUAAACUUCUUUUAUAUGCAAAUAAACCUACUUUCGUGAAAGUAGCUGAAGGUAGCAUAUGAAUAAACACCGGCUAACUCCGUGCCAGCAGCCGCGGUAAUACGGAGGGUGUAAGCGUUAUCCGGAUUUAU
RNAcentral lists this ribosomal RNA (491 nucleotides) under uncultured bacterium. RNAcentral describes it as "bacterial SSU rRNA". It matches the Rfam family "Bacterial small subunit ribosomal RNA", at positions 70 to 554 of the family's 1533-position model. The record is from RNAcentral.